Molecule: transfer RNA, 80 nt
Filed under: Glycine max (soybean)
Lineage: Eukaryota; Viridiplantae; Streptophyta; Magnoliopsida; Fabales; Fabaceae
Also listed under: 1 other name
Rfam family: tRNA
About the family: Transfer RNA (tRNA) molecules are approximately 80 nucleotides in length.
Source: Rfam by way of RNAcentral
GUUGUUAUGGCGAAAUUGGUAGACACGCUGCUCUUAGGAAGCAGUGCUAGAGUAUCUUGGUUCGAGUCUGAGUAGCCACA